Molecule: ribosomal RNA, 1314 nt
Filed under: Triticum aestivum (bread wheat)
Lineage: Eukaryota; Viridiplantae; Streptophyta; Magnoliopsida; Poales; Poaceae
Description: partial small subunit ribosomal RNA
Source: RNAcentral
AUGGCACUCGAUCUGGGAUCCAUGUUCCUAGACCUAGCUGCUGCGGCUGCUGCGUAUGGCCGCCUCGACGAGGACGACGCCCGCACCAAGCCUGGCAGCAAUCCAUCACAGGGUUCCCCGUCCCUGAACCCCCCUGCUCAUGGCUACCCCGACGGCGGCGGCGACCGGCCACCCUUCGUCUUCAUCGAACCAUACGCCUACUUUGCGGACCGCCACAACGCCACCACCGCCGGCUGCAGCAUGGAGGGUCUCCAUCUCCGGGGAGACAUCAAGAUCACCUUCUGCACUGCCCAGCCACCGCAAGUCUCCUACCUCUGCGCCCACGCCACCGCCUACGACCACACCGUGUUCGCCGUCCGGCCUUCCAUAGUCACCACACAGACUAACGGCGGCCUCGUCCUCCUAUGCGUCGUGGUCGGUGACCGGCCAUCCGAUGCCAUGUUUCGCCACAGACGACACUACUUCGUCUACGACGCCAGCGUCCCCUCGCUCAAGCACAUCAAGCAGCCCGGCGACGGCCACCCAGUCAACAAGCAGUCGUUUGCCAUUGUGCGCAAACCUGACCGCAGCUACGUCCUCGCCGCACAAGCCGGUGCGUUCGGAUGCCGCAAUCCUUCUGCUCACCUCUGCCUAUAUCACUCCGGCACCAACUCCUGGAGCAAACUGCAUGUCGAUUCAGUCCCCUACGGCGAGUUUAUCACAUACAAGGCAUUCACCAUCGGAGGAGAUAAAGGCACAGUGGCCUGGGUCGAUCUCUCACAUAUGAUCAUCUUCUGCAACGUGCUGGACAAACGUCCCAAGCUUCGUUUCCUCAGAAUACCGAUCGAGCCGACGAAUGCAGGUGGAUUGCCGGCUGUUCGGGACAUCUUGGUCCUUGAUGGCUUCAUCAAGAUGGUCGAGCUGCAGCACGUUGCCGGUGGUUGGAAGGCCACAAUAUGGAGCAUCAAGACUGGUGUCUUCUCUAAAAAGGCUUGGCGCGUCGAUUACCAGUUCGAUUCUUCUGAUAUACCUGAACCGUCGCUGCCUAAGCUGAAGCUCCCUGAAGGUGUCACGGCUCAGCCUACCUUGACGACUCUCCAUAUUGGCCUGCCCAAGCUGAGCCUGCCAGAUGAUGGAAUUCUUUACUUACUAGCCAAGAUUGACUACCGUGACAGACAGCACACAGCUUGGGUGCUUGCUGUUGACAUGAAGAACAAGACUGUCCAGAGAGUGGCCGAAUUUAGCCCCAAGAGGGCUAUUGGUUUAUGCAGGGGCUAUGAUUCAAGUACAAUCUCCAAAUAUCUCAAAGUUGCUUCAGGUACAAAAGCAAAUUAA